GAUGCUGACGAGUGGCGAACGGGUGAGUAAUACAUCGGAACGUGCCCGAUCGUGGGGGAUAACGGAGCGAAAGCUUUGCUAAUACCGCAUACGAUCUACGGAUGAAAGCAGGGGACCGCAAGGCCUUGCGCGGACGGAGCGGCCGAUGGCAGAUUAGGUAGUUGGUGGGAUAAAAGCUUACCAAGCCGACGAUCUGUAGCUGGUCUGAGAGGACGACCAGCCACACUGGGACUGAGACACGGCCCAG
This 247-nucleotide ribosomal RNA is filed under the name uncultured bacterium. RNAcentral describes it as "partial 16S ribosomal RNA". It matches the Rfam family "Bacterial small subunit ribosomal RNA", at positions 84 to 334 of the family's 1533-position model. The record is from RNAcentral.